Molecule: long non-coding RNA, 30728 nt
Filed under: Solanum tuberosum (potato)
Lineage: Eukaryota; Viridiplantae; Streptophyta; Magnoliopsida; Solanales; Solanaceae
Description: long non-coding RNA (STUB_LNC010835)
Source: RNAcentral
UCUUGGCAAUCAGUUGUAUGAUUCAAGCUUUGUUGACAAAGGUCUGCCGCUGGAUCCUCACCUGCGUAUGCUCAAGCAAAAUUCAUGCUUUUGUAAGUCAUUUUUUAUUUUUAACACUUUUUAAUUUUUAAAAUGAUAAGCCAAAUAAACUUGAAAUAGUUUUGUACGUAGUUUAAUUUGAAUUGAUUUUUUAAUAUUACCUGUUAAAAUUAAAAGGAAGCCUCAGGCUGGCAACGAGGGUAAAAAGGUGAUUGACUCAGGUGAUUAAAGAAUAUUAUGCUUAAGUUGGAGCUAUUUUAUAAUAAAUAAAAAAUUACAUGGCUAACCAAAUCAUGUUUUUCCCUUUUAGUCAUUUCAAUUUCUUAGGUAAUAUAUGUUGACCAUCUUUAUUCAAGUUUAGUUUCUGCUAUUUUAAUUUGUUGUCAAUUUCAAGUAAUCAAUAAGUCAUAUUUCCUUAGUAAAACUCUUCAAGUUUAAAUAAAAACAUCACGUUUAAAUUUAUCGAUUUUCACUUAUUAAUCUUUUUCACUGCCUUCCUAUUCUCUUAUCUUUUUAUAUUUAAAUCAUCAAGUUGUUAUUCUAUAAGUAAACAAGAGUUUUGAUGAUAACUUUAUUUUUAUAUUUACUUUAAAUGUAAAUAAUAAAAUAUCUCAGGUGAAAUUAAUGAUUUACGUUCGAAAAAGUUAUGUAUCAAAAUAUCAAUUGCAAAAAAUUUAAAAUUUAAAUCUUAAUUAUAUUAUUUGAAAAUUUUCAACUAAUUACAGCAAUCUAUCAGAGAUUUUCAUUAAGACACAUAACUUUAGUGAUAUUAUAAUAUAUUAAUUGCAUAAAUAUUUAAUAGAAGUGUUGAUUCCUCCACAUUAAUAUGUUGUGUGGGAUAUUAAAUAUGUUUUUUUUUUGUUUUUUUGUUUGAUUGAUUAAUUUUUUCUAAUAAUUUUGACCAUAAAAUAACUUUUCAAUUAGCAUAUUAGAAGGAUAGUUUUCAUUUGAUUGGUUUAAGAUAUGUUUGUUAUAAAUUAAAUUAUGAGUUACAAGAUCUGAACAUUUUUAUAAAUUUGAUAAUUAAAUUGCAAGAUAUUUGUAAGUUUUUUUUAAUCUAUUUUUGUGACCUUUAAUUUUGUUAUACAAGAAAAUUUUGAGAAAAAAUGUCAUUAAGCGAAGAUAUAUUUUUAGAGAGCUCAACAAAUGGGGAAAGUAGUGAUGACUUGACUUUGAGGAAACUAUGUCAGCUAAUCCUCAAUUCCAACAUUCAGUUUUCUUUAGACCCUUACCAACUGUCAAUAAUCAAACUGUUGUGGUAACUAUUUUCAUUCUUUAACUUAUCAUUAAUGAAUACAAAUCUAUUAAUGAGGGUCUAGAGAAAACUGGAUGUUGGCAUUGAGGAUUAGCUGACAUAGUUUCCUCAAAAGUCAAGUCAUCACUACUUUCCCCAUUUAUUGAGCUUUUUGAUAAUGCAUCUUCACUUAAUGAUAUUUUUUUCCAAUAUUUUUCUAUAUAACAAAAUUGAGGGUCAUAAAAAAUAGAUAAAAAGACUUGUUAAUAUCUUGCAAUUUAAUUAUCAUCUUUAUUAAAAUGUACAAAUUUUGUGCAUAAUUUAAUUUAUAACAAACAUAUUUUAAAUCAUUCAACUGAAAACUAUUUUUCUAAUAUGCCAAUUGAAAAGAUAUUUUAGGGUCAAGAUUAUUAGAGAAAAUUAAUCAACAAACAAACAAAAACACAAAAAUAUUAUUUUUAUAUUCCACACAACACAUUAAUAUGGAGAAAUCGAUACUUCUGAUAAAUAUUAAAGCAAUUAAUAUGUUAUAAUGUCAUUAAAGUUAUGUGCCGUAAUGAAAAUUUAUGACAGAUUACUGUAAUUAGUUGAAAAUUUUCAAAUAAAAAUAUAACUAAGAUUUAAAUUUAAAAUUUUCUGCAAUUAAUAUUGUGAUGCAUAACUCUUUCAAACGAAAAUCAUUAGUUUCACCUGAGAUUUUAUUAUUUACAUUUAAAGUAAAUUUAAAAAUAAAGUUAUCAUCAAAACUCUUGCUUACUUAUAGAAUAACUUCUUGAUGAUUUCAAUAUAAAAAUAUAAGAAUAGGAAGGUAGAGGAAAAGAUUAAUAGGUGAAUCGAUAAAUUUAAAUCUUUUAAGGUUUAAGAAAAUAAUUAAUGAUUAGCUUUUUAUCUUUUUCACGACAAUCCAUCAUGAUUUAAGGUUACAAGUAGAGCUAUCACAACAUUAAUGAUAUCAAAAACAAAUGUAUAUAUAAGGAUUUAUUAAAAUAAAGUAUAACUGAAUAAGACCGUUCUAAGAUUUUUAACACAUUUAGUAUGAUUAAGGGAUUUUAUAAUCUAAAAUAAAUAAGUAAAUAUGUAUUAAAACAUAAAGAGAAUCACCCUAAUUUUAUAAGAUUUUCUCUUCGGUAGUGAUUGAUUUUAAGAAAAUAUUAAAGCUCCUAAAUUUUUGAAACUCAAUAAUAUCUCAAAUCUUAAUAGAUGUAUGACACAAAAUAUAAAUUAAAAUAAAAAAACCAAGAUCUAUAGAUUUACACAUGUAUGAAAUCAAGUCAUAAUGUUAUUUUUCUUCUCAAAUAUUUAAUGUGUUGCAAUAUAGAAUUUAAAUUAUUCAAUUUAUUGAAUAUGAAGAAAAAGUCCGUUCACAUAGAGUUUUAACACUCGCAUUAUAACCUGCAUAACAAAAAAUCAAGAGAUAAAAAUUUUAAAAAGAAAAGAAAAGAGAAAGUAAUGUUCUAAUCAUAAAAUUUUAACAAAUAAUUAAAAAAGAAAUAGAAAGUAUCUCCACAUAUAUAAAAGAGUAAUAAUUUCAGCUAAAAUAUUUUAGUCUAUUGGUAAUUGUGUAUUUGUAAAUCUUUUGUGGUGUUUAAAUCUGCUUCUCAAAAGAUUAUUUGAACUUUUAUCCUACUAUGAUUUUAAAUCAAGUUCUCAAAUUCCUUUAAAAUGAUUUCCAAAAUUAGAUGGCGAUUCGAUUUUAAAAAACGAAGAAGAUAAAAAUAGGCCAAAGUUAUAAAAUUAUUUUUACUUAGUUUGAAACUUAUCGUAAUAAGUAACAAUGUGUUCUUUGAUAAAACUACUUAAUGAGAAUUUGAGAAGGACAUAAAUCGAUAAUCAAGAAUUAGUCACACUAGUUUAUAUUUUUCAACUACUUUCAACAACAUUAUUGUCGUUAAUGCUAAUUGCAACCUUCUUUACUAAUGACAUGUUUGUUAAUUAUUAAUUUUCAAGAACAUACCUAGUUUGAAGUGAAGAAAUAAUAUUAUUAAUUGUAAGAAUGAUACGAGAACUUAUUAUUUCCUCCAGUGUACAUAAGUCUAUAUUGUUGACGUCGUCUUUUUAUUAAUUAUUAAAACUAUGUCAUAUAUUAUAAUCCACGGGAAUAUUAACUUGUUGCCUUCAAAGUUUAAUUUUGAUAUAUUUCAUUUGUUCUCCUUAUUUUAAAAUAUUACGUUGAGUUGUCUUCUGUAACUUCUUUACCUAGUUUGAGAUGUAUCUAUAAAAUUUGCUAGAUUUAGUAUUUGAAGUAUAAUUCUCUUAUUGGACUUAUUUUUUAUAUAUUUAUUUGUGAGUUUUCUAAAAUUAUUUAAGAAGUUGACAAAAUUUAAUAAGUUAUAAAGAUGUUAUAGUGGAUUACUUGUCAUAUUUGUAGCUCCUCAUCUUUUGAUCAUAUCUCAAGACUAAAUGUGUUUAGAUGAGAAUUUCGGUAGUGCGAUUAGCUUUAGAAUGUUGAGUUUUGUCUAGAUUGACCUUUCAUGGGAAUCCUGAAGCUUCUUGGCUCAUUUUGAGCCCUCGUAUAGGAUUUGGCUUAACAUGGAACUUGGGUGUGGGACCCAGUUUUAAUCAAGAUGACCUCAUAUGGAAAUUAUAAUGAUUCUGUUGAGUCUAGAAUGCCAAAUUUAGUGGGGUAGCAUAUCUAGUAUAUUUUUAUCGGGUCCCGAAUAAACCACGAGGGUCCGUAAGGAGACUUUGAAAAAUAGCAAAAUUUGAUGUUGCUUGUGCAGAUAUUUAGUGUGACACCUCAGAUUCAAGAAGAACUAGGAAGGGUCAAGUGGGCAACUCACAAGCCCAAAGGUGGACCAUGAAACUCCUCAUGGAGCCCCAGACGGGUCGUGAAGAGGACCACGGUCCGAUGGAGGGCUCGUGAAGGUGCCCAGGACCUGCUUCGCUGGUCUCCCUCCUACGAAGGGAGUUGACGGCCCGUGGUGAGCUUCACGCCCCUUAGUGGUGUCUGUGAAAAAAAUCCAGAAGAUGUCCAGGAAGGAUGCACUCCCACGACCCCUUUGACUGCCCGUGGUGAGCCUCACGAGGCGUGAAGGUGAUCGUGGAGGAUGGCCAGCCUUCAGGGGCCAUUGCCCAAGGACCACGGUGGCCACAACGGGUCGUGGUCCCUUACACGAUCCGUGUAAGCUGUCGUAGGGUGGUCGUGUCAGCUAUAAGUCAGGGUCUUUUCCUAAUUAUUCUAUCUUGAUACUAUGUCAUUUUGCCCUCUUUUAGAACCCCUGUAUAAGUGUUUUUAACCCCGAAAUUCCCCAAUUGAAAUCAUUUUCUCAAAUUUACAAAGAAGAAUAAGUCUUCCUCUCCAAAAUAUUUUUAUCUCUAGAAAGCUUGAAGAAGAAGGGAUCAACCUAGGGUUUCAAGUCAAGACUCCAAUUCCCCCAUUGAAGGCAAGCUUUUGGCAUUGAGGUAUUAUAGUUUUCAUCCAUGGAGUUCCCAACUUCUCCAAUUUUCAAAGUUAGAAAUUCCCAAUUGAGUUAUGGGUUUUCUCCUAUGUUAUGAGUUCUCUUAAUUAUUGAUUUAAUUGAUUGAUCUAUGAUCUUUUAUGCAUGAAUUGAGUUAAUAUCAUGUUUUUAUGAUGAACAUGAUGAUACCUCAUGAACCCAUGUAAUUCCCAUGUUUUCCAAGUUAUGAUCAUAUGAUGUGGGUUUUGAAUUAUGAAAGAAGAGUUUAUGAAAUUAAGCAUGUUUUCAUGAAAUUUAUGUAAUUGUUUUAAGGAUUCUUUGAGAGUGAAGUAUCAAUGUUGUCAUUUGUUUUAUUGUGAAAGGAUUUUUCAUAUACACAUGAAAGCAUGACUUUUGAAAGGACAUUCUCACAUAAAGGAUUCUUAGGGUUGAAAGGUUUUCUCAACUACACUUGGAAUCAAAGAUUUAAGGAGCUAUUCUAAUGAAAACUAGCUUGGAUUGGUUAUUGAAUGAUACAUUUCCAUGGAUACUACAUGACUUAGCUUGGAUUGGCAAUAUGACGUGCCCUUCCAUGGAUAAUAAAGACAAGUAUGCAUAAUUGACUAUUCCGUGGAAAUUACUCUUAGCAGCAAGCGGAUAUUGAUAUGGAAGCUCUCCCAUUAGUAGAGGUCGAGUUUCUAGAAGCAAUCUAUUUGUCCCUUAACUAUGUUCAACCAUGGGAUGUUGUCUUAUCUAGACAUUAGCUAGUGGAUCCACAUAAGCUAGAAGUUCAUGGCCUUACCUUAGAAAAGUAGGAAACCUUUUUUGGUGUAGGAGACACCAGAUUCCAUGUUAUAGCAUACACGGUCUCUAUAUCGGUUAAAAGGUAAUUCCCCACGAUAAUGAACUAAGGUUACUUUUAUAAUUAUCUCAUGAACGUUUUGAACUCCCCGAUACCCAACCUAUCUCUAUUCCUCCUUAUAUAAUGGCUUCGGCGGAACUCAAGGAGUUGAAGGAGAAGUUAAAGGACUUAUUGGAUAAGGAUUUCAUUCGACCGAGUAUGAUGCUCCGGUGUUGUUUGUUAAGAAGAAAGAUGGUUCACUCCGUAUGUGUAUUGAUUAUCGGCAGUUGAAUAAAGUGACCAUCAAGAACAAGCAUCCUCUUCCGAGAAUAGAUGAUUUAUUUGAUCAACUUCAAGGGGCAAAUUAUUUCUCUAAAAUUGACCUCCAAUCGGGUUAUCACCAAUUGAGGGUGAAAGAGGAAGAUAUACCAAAAAUGACUUUUAGAACUCGAUAUGGUCAUUAUGAGUUCUUGGUUAUGUCUUUUGGUUUAACUAAUGCCCCGGCAAAGUUUAUGGAUUUGAUGAAUAGGGUGUUUAGACAAUACCUUGAUAUGUUCGUAAUUGUGUUCAUAGAUGAUAUUUUGAUCUAUUCAAGAAGUGAGAAUGAGCAUAUUGAUCAUUUGAGGAUUGUAUUGCAAAUUCUCUAGGACCAACAACUCUAUGAGAAGUUUAGUAAAUAUGAGUUUUGGUUAAGGUCCGUAGCUUUCCUUGCCCAUAUAGUUUCAAGCAAGGGUAUUGACGUAGAUCCAAAGGAGACUGAUGCGGUCAAGAGUUGGCCUAGACCUCUAUCACCAACAGAUAUUAGAAGUUUCUUGGGUUUGGCCGGUUAUUAUAAAAGGUUUGUUGAGGGGUUCUCCUCUAUUGCUUCUCCUUUGAUGACUUUGACGACUUUGACUCAAAAGAAGGCCAAGUUUAUAUGGUCCGAAGCUUGUGUGAAAAGUUUCCAAGAGUUGAAAGAUAGACUUACUUCCGCUCCGGUGUUGACCUUACCGGAAGGUACAGAUGACUUUGUGGUAUAUUGUGAUGCCUCUAGAGUUGGAUUGGGAUGUGUGCUCAUGCAAAAUGGUAAGGUAAUUGCCUAUGCUUCAAGGCAACUAAAUGUUCAUGAGAAGAACUAUCCUACCCACGAUCUUGAAUUAACGGCGGUGGUAUUUGCCUUAAAGAUUUGGAGGCAUUAUUUGUAUGGGGUCCACGUUGAUGUGUUUACCGAUCACAAAAGUUUGCAAUAUGUGUUUACCCAAAAAGAUCUGAAUCUUUGCCAAAGAAGGUGGCUUGAGUUAUUAAAAGAUUAUGAUAUGAGUGUUCUCUAUCACCCCGGUAAAACAAAUGUGGUGGCGGAUGCCCUUAGUCGGUUAUCCAUGGGUAGUGUUACACAUGUUGAUGAUGAGAGAAAAGAGUUGGUUCGAGAUGUUCAUAGGUUAGCCCGAUUGGGAGUUUAACUAGUGGAUUCCACCAAGGGUAGUAUUAUGGUCCAUAAUGGUUUUGAAUCAUCUUUCGUGGCCGAUGUUAAAGCAAAGCAAUGUCUUGAUCCGACCUUAGUAUAAUUGAAAGAAGUGGUACUAAAGAAGUCUGUAGAGGCUUUCUCCCGGGGGGAUGGUGUCCUAAGGUACCAAGGUUGAUUGUGUGUUCUGAAUGUCAAUGACUUGAGGCAACAGAUCUUGUCAGAAGCCCAUAGUUCUCGGUAUUCUAUUCACCUGGGAGCCACCAAGAUGUACCGUGAUUUGCGGGAGAUCUAUUGGUGGAAUGGGAUGAAGAAGGAUAUUGCAGGAUUUGUGGCUAAGUGUUCUAAUUGCCAACAAGUGAAGGUUGAGCAUCAGAGACCGGGAUUUUAUCCUAAGAUAUUAGCAUUCCUACUUGGAAGUGGGAAGAUAUGAAUAUGGACUUCAUUGUAGGGUUGCCCUGAACUCGGCUUCAAUAUGAUUCAAUUUGGGUUAUAAAAGACCGAAUGAUGAAGUCAGCCCAUUUAAUUCCCGUCAAGGUUUCCUAUAUGGCGGAAGAUUAUGAUAAGUUGUAUUUGAGAGAGAUGGUAAGGUUGUAUGAAGUGCCCUUGUCCAUUAUCUCCGAUAGAGGUACUCAGUUUACUUCACAAUUUUGGAAAUCUUUCCAAAACGAUCUUGGCACGAAAGUUAAGCUUAGUACAGUUUUUCACCCCUAAACUGAUGGGCAAGCGAAAAGAACAAUCCAAACAUUGGAAGAUAUGUUGAGGGCGUGCGUGAUAGAUUUCAAGGGAAAUUGGGAUGACCAUUUGCCUUUGAUAGAAUUUGCCUAUAAUAAUAGCUACCAUUCCAGUAUUGGUAUGGCUCCGUUUGAGGUUCCUUAUAGUAUGAGGUGUAGAUCCCCUAUCGGAUGGUUUGAGGUGGGUGAGGUUACUUUGAUAGGAUGGUUUGAUAUGGGUGAGGUUACUUUGAUAGGACCCGUGUUAGUUCAUGAAGCUAUUGAGAAAGUUCGACUCAUUAGAGAGAGGUUGAGAACCGCCCAAAGUCGACAAAAGUCUUAUGUAGAUGUUAGAAGGAGAGACCUUGAAUUUGAUGUGCUUGAUUGGGUUUACUUGAAAAUCUCACCCAUAAAGGGUGUAAUGAGGUUUUGUAAGAAAGGGAAACUUAGUCCCCGUUUUGUAGGCCCAUAUCAAAUUUUGAGACGUGUUGGUAAGGCUGCAUAUGAGCUUGAUUUUCCAAAUGAGUUGGCAUCAGUGCAUCUGGUUUUCCAUGUCUCUAUGUUGAAAAAGUGUGAUAGAGGUCCGACAUCCAUAAUUCCCCUAGAAGGGUUAGAAGUGAAAGAGAACCUUUCUUAUGAAGAAGUUCCGGUAGACAUCUUAGAUCGUCAAGUUAAGAGGUUGAGGAAUAAAGAGGUUGCUUCCGUUUAAGUGUUAUGGAUAAACCAUCUAGUUGAGGGUGCUACUUGGGAGGCCGAGGCCAAUAUGAUAUCCUGAUAUCCUCAUCUCUUUCCUCCUAUUCUAUCUUGAGGUAAUGAUUUCCUCUUGUUUUGCUUAUGUUUGAAGUCAUAAGUGUUUUAUGUGUUUCCAUGAUUUCCUUAAAUUUGCAUGUUCAUGAAACAGCUUAAGUUUUUUAAAGAAUUUGCUUUUAUUAUGUAUUUUCCUCAUGUUGUUGAGUAUUGAAUAUAAGUUGCUUAUAGACUUCAUGAGAUGAGUUGUAGAACAUGCCUUGACUUGGAGUGGAGAUCCCCUCCUUGAAUCAGUGCUUUUUGAGAUUUAAUUGCAUUUAGACUCCAUGAGAUUGUGUUGAGCAUUGCUUUUGAGUUUGGAGAAGGUAGUUCCUCCUUAAGUGUAAGAAAUUUGAAAUUUCAUGCAUAUUGGGUUGUUAGAUGUAGUUCCUACUUCCUUAUGGUGCAUUGAGUAUAUUUAGCUUAGAGAUUAAGUUCCUUUUUAGUUGUGUGCAUUUAGAUGAGUUGUGUGCAUUUAGAUGAGUUGUGUGCAUGAUGGGCUGCUAGUCUUGGUCUUUGGCCUAGAAACGUGCUUAGAAUCUCAUUCGAGGACGAAUGAUCCCAAAGGGGAGAUAAUGUAACACCUCGGAUUCGAAGCAAGGCAAAUCGCAGCUUUUAGGGAUAAUUGCAGCUGCCAUCUACGAGGACCAACCACGGUCUGUGGGUUGACUUACGGACCGUAGGUGGGGCCGUGGAUAGCAACCUCACAAAAUGGUCCAGGCAUGGACCACGGAGGGACCUAUGGACUGUAGGUGGGUCCACGCCCCGUGGUCCAGCCAACUAUCAAUGGCCAGAAUUCUCUGACAACAAACGACAACUGACCAGGACGGACCGUAGGUCCAUCCACGGUCCGUCGAUUGUGGUCUCAUGGGUCAGGACUGGCAGUUAUUUUUAGGGGAUUAUGGGUCUUUUCCAGCUUUAAUUAAAUCAAUGUGGUGUCAAUUUUUCCUAAACCUAGACCACUUAUAUAAGGAUUUUAGACCCUUUAACUCACUCAGUUAAGUCAUUCUCUCAAUUCACAAAAGAAACCCCAAAACUCCUCUUAAAUAUUAUCUCUCUAGAAGGUAGAAGAAGAAUAAAAAAAAAUGAGGAGAUUGAAGCUAGGUCAAGAUCAAGUCUACCAAUCUUCAAGCUUUGGUGGGCAUUGAGACUAAGGUAUGAUGGCUUUUCAUCCAUGGGAUUCUUCCUCCCAUGGAGUUCCCUAGAAUUCCAUAAUUUGAAGAAGAUUUUUCCCAAUUCUAGUUAGGGUUUCUUCCAUUGUUGUGGGUUAUGAUGAAUGUUGAUCCAAUUUAGUGGAUUAUGAUUGUUUAUGAUUGAAUUCAUAGAAUUGCAUGUAUUUAAGAUGAAACUAUAUGUAACCAUGCCUAUCCUAUGAUUUUAGGGUUGAAUUGAUAUAGUUGGGUUUGAUGUCAUGUAAGGGAAACUCUAUGGGUUAGAUACGUCCUUAUAGGAUUGAUGAAUUAUGACUAGAAUUGCUUGAGAUUGAAGCAUAUAUGGACAAUAUGAUGUUAAUUGCUUGAAAGUAAAGCAUAGAUGAUGAUCAUGAGAUGUAGUGCUUUGAGAGUAAAGCCUAGACUAUGAUUUGUUAAUUGAUAAUGUUGUAAUUUGGAAGGGAUACUUUCUAUAAUGAAUUGACAAACACGAUUGUAUGAAUGUGAAAGGUUUACUCACAUUAAUGAUUCUAGGUUGAAAGGCUUGCUCACCUAAAAUGAAUCUAGACUAAAAUGCUUAAUGAAUGAUGAGGCUAGAGGCGAUUACCCUUGACCUCCAUAUACAAGGAUAUGAGGUGAUUCACAUACUCCUUAGAAUUGAACAAGAGGUGAGUCCCCACGUUCCUACUAUGAUGAAUGGACAUGGAGGCGAGUACUCAUGCUCCUUAUGAAAUGAUGUGGAUGCGAGUACCCGGAAUUUAAAAGUAAGUAACGCCAGAGGCGAAUACCCAUUAGCCUUUAUAAGCUAGGCAUUGAGGGGAAUCCCCAUAUCUUUAAAAGUAAGUAUGAUUAAUGUGAUUAUGUUAUGAAGUGACUUGUUUGGAGUGUUGCUAGAUAUGCCUUCUAUGAUGUAAUCUUGACUAGAGGCGGACGACCUAAGUCUUGUUAAAUCUUAAGUGAGGUUACUUAAGGGAGUAUUCCUCUUUCAUUAUGAUGCUUAUUAUGUAUUGAUUAUGCUCGUGCCUUAUGUCUUAUGUUGACUAAUGCUUUUGAUUAUGUUGUUUAUGCAAGCCAUCAUAUUUAGUACUUGAUUGUACUAAUGCAUACUCUUGCCUACAUUCUUAUCAAACGUAAGGUCCGGCAUUCCCGAUUCACACACUUGUGGCUAGGUUCUUAGUUGAUCAAGAAGUAAAGCUUUGGUGAGUCCUCAUUGUAUUUGAGGAUUGGAUCACCCUAUCUCUUUUAUGUCUUUCUUUUCAUGUUGGACUGUUGUAUGGGUUGCGUCCCAAGAUUUAUCUUCUUAUGUUAUAUGGUUUGAGACAAUGUUGUUAGACUUCCGCUCGUUUUAUAAAAGACUUUGAUUGUAUUGAAAGGUUUUAAAUUCCCGCUCAUUUCUAUUACUUUAUGUUAUGAUAUGCUAAGUGGCUUGUAUGAGUCCUCACGGGGUUUUAUACGCCUUAUUACAUAUAGGGGGUACCCCUGCGUCGUUUCAAUUGUGAUGCAUCCAAGGUCAGCUUAGGUUGUGUGUUGAUGCAGCAAGGUAAGGUCAUAGAUUAUGCUUUCUAGAUAGCUUAAGGUCCAUGAGAAGAACUACCCAAAUCAUGACCUCGAAUUUGUAGCUGUAGUGUUUUCCCUAAAGAUUUUGAGACUUUACUUGUAUAGUGUUCAUGUUGAUGUUUCCACAGAUCAUAAGAGCCUCAAGUAUGUGUUCACCCAAAAAGAGUUGAAUCUUCAUAAAAAAGAUGGCUUGAAUUCCUCAAAGACUAUGACAUGAAUGUGCUCUACCAUCCGGGUAAAGGCCAAUGUAGUGGCAGACGCGAUCAACAGAUAAUCCAUGAGUAGUGUGGCACACGUUGAGGAAGAGAAGAAAGAAUUAGCCAGACAUGUUCACCGGCUUGCUCAUUUAGAAGUUUGUCGUAUGAACACCUCAGAUGGUGGUGUGAUAAUUCAAAAUGGGUCAGAAUCUUCGUUGGUAGCAGAGGCUAAGGAGAAACAAGAUAAUGAUCUUAUAUUGCUUCAGUUGAAGGUGCAUUUCAUCAGUAGACGGUUGAGGUAUUCUCCCAAGGGGGAGAUGGUGUACUUCGUAAUCAGGGUGGUCUCUUAUAUGUCCCUAAUGAGGGUGAGUUGAGGCAGAAAAUCCUUAAAGAAGCCCAUAAUUCUAGAUAUUCUAUUCAUCCGGGUGCUACUAAGAUGUACCGUGAUCUAGGAAAAAUCUAUUGGUGGAACGGUAUGAAGAUGGACAUCGCAGAUUUUAUGUCUAAGUGUCCUAACAGUCAACAAGUUAAAGUCGAACAUAAAAAAACCAGGAGGUAUGACUCAAUAGAUUAGCAUUCCUACAUGAAAGUGGGAAGUGAUAAACAUGGAUUUCACUACGGGUUCACCUUGUACUCGUAGACAGCAUGACUCUGUUUGGGUGAUAGUGGAUAGAGUCACUAAGUCAGCUCACUUCUUGGUUGUCAAUACUACAGAUUCACUGGAGGAUUAUGCUAGACUCUACAUCAGCGAGAUAGUCAAGUUGCAAGGGGUUCCUUUGUCUAUUAUUUCGGAUAGAGGUCCUCAGUUUACCUCUCAUUUCUGCAGAUCGUUUUAGAAAGGUCUUGGUACUCAGGUAAAUCUCAGUAUAGCAUUUCAUCCGCAGAUGGAUAGUCAAGAAGAGUGAACCAUUCAAACCUUAGAGGAUAUGUUGAGAGCUUGUGUGAUCGAUUUCAAGGGUAAUUGGGAUGAUCACCUACCUCUCAUAGAGUUCGCUUAUAAUAAUACCUUAUAUUUUAGUAUUCAGAUGGCCCCGUAUGCGGCACUCUAUGGCCACAAAUGCAUGUCUUCGGUUGGUUGGUUCGUAGUAGGUAAAGCGGCCUUGAUUGGGCCAGAUUUGGUUCAUGAGGCUAUGGAGAAAGUUCAGCUCAUCAGAGAUAGACUAAAAACAUCUCAGAGUCGUCAAAAGUCCUAUGCAAAUGUAAAAAGAUGAGACUUAGAGUUUGAAAUCGACGAUUGGGUUUUCCUGAAGGUGUCACGGAUGAAAGGGGUGAUGAGAUUUGGAAAGAAAGGUAAGCUCAGUCACAGGUAUGUAGGUCCUUACAGAAUCUUGAAAAAUUGGUAAUGUGCCUUAUGAGUUAGAUUUGCCAACAUAAUUAGCAGCAGUUCAUCCAGUCUUUCACAUUUCAAUAAGUGUGUGGGUGAUCUGACAUCAAAGUACCCUUAGAGAGUGAGGUUGUGAAGGAUAGCCUCACCUAUGAAGAGGUUCCAAUUGAAAUUCUUGACCAUCAGGUGCGUAGGUUGAGAAAUAAGGAUGUCGCUUUAGUAAAGGUUUUGUGGAGGAGUCAGUCUAUAGAGGGAGCUACUUGGGAAGCAUAGGAAGCCAUAAUGGCAAAGUAUCCUCACCUUUUUCCUUCCGAUUCCAUUUCAGCUUGAGGUAAUAGUUCCUCUCCGGUCUUUUAAUUAAUCUUGUGUAAUUUCAAUCUCAGUAUCUUGUUCCCUCUAUUAUCAUUGCAUUUCAGCAUAUUUGCAUGAUUCAUGGCACUCAAAUCAGUUGAAUAUCAACCUCUAGUACUCAAUUGGUAGGGUAUGCAGCUCUUUCCUCCAAACUGAGCUUCUAACACAUUGGCUUAGAGAAUAGCUAGAAUGGUUAAAAUAUACAAGUCAUAAGCCCAAAAAAUGGACCAUGGAACCCUCCACGAAGCCCUAGACGGGUCGUGUAGGGCACCACGGUCCUUUAAAGGGCUCAUUAAGGUCUUCGAGCACCUGCCACAGGGAGGCUUCACCUCGAAAAACACCCAGACGAUUUGUGGUAACUUGGACAGCCCAUCUGGUGGGUUGCAUAAAUCCCCCCCCCUCCCCAUCAAUAAGAUCCCACCCCAAGUCAUUGGUUAAGGACCAUAAAUGUCUAAACAGUUUACGAAGCUUCACACAGACUGUGAAGUCAUCUGUGAAGGGGACUUAUUAGGUCUUCAGUUGUGGGGAAACUCCAAACGAUCAUAUAUUUAAGAACAAAAUGAAAUUAGUGGCCCAUGACCUAUCAAAUUAAGGUAUUUGAGUCCUUUUUCCAACGCCACCACGUUUGCCUAAUUUCGAGCUCGGAAUAAAAAGUUAUGCUCGUUCUAGUGAAUCCAUGUCGGAUAGGGCAGCAUCACGACCCACUAGACGGGUUGUGAUGAUCUAAACGACCUCUGAAGAUCUUAUUGAAUGUCACCUCGUAAUUUUAAAGUGAGGUUGCACCCCCAAGGCCACUAUGAAGGACCAUGAAUGCCUAGAAAGUCAAUGAAGCUUAACACGCACCGUAAAGUCGUCCGUGAAGGCGACUUAUAACUUAGACUUUUGGGUCAACUUCAAAUGACCAUAUCUUUCUAAACAAAAUGAAUCAGGUGGCUCAUGACCUAUCAAAUUAAAGAUCUCUGAGUCCUCUUUUCAAUGUCACCGAGUUUGCCUAAUUACAAGCUUGGACUAAAAAGUUAUUCUUGAAAUAGUGAAAACCUAUCGGGUAGAGCAUCCUCACGACCCACUUGAUGGGCCGUGGUGCUCUAGAUAGCCUCUCUUGAAGUCACUUCAUCAGCAUUUAAAUUAGGGUCGCAUUGGCCUUUUUCCCUAUGCAUUUGGUAAUUAAACUACGUUGUUUGGUGCUUAAACUAAGUCAUUUUACUCAGUCUAAACCUAAUAAUCUAGUCAGAAACUACCUAAACCCCUCAUUCUCCCAAAUCAUCCAAUUUUGAAAGAAAAGAAGAGAAAAAGGGAUAGUUUCUCCCAAGAACAAGUAGAGGUUUUCUUUAACUUAAGCUCCAAAAUCCAAAGGAUUUCUCUGUAGGUUUCGUCACCAGGUAUGUGGGAUUUCAUUAAUGGGUUCCUUUCCCCCAUUAGGUCCCUAGAAUUCAGUCAGUUUCUGAAUUCUCAUCAAUUGCUCAGACUUAGGGUUUCUAAAUCUUGGGGAUACAUUGUAAUAUAGCUGAUAUAGUUUCCAUUAAAUUGGUUACAUGCUUUCUUGGAGAAUUAAUGUAGCCCCAUGUAUAGAACUCCAAACCCUAGCUUGUAUUAAUUAUUAGUAUCUCUUAAAUUAUACUUGCAAGGUAGAUCAGUAAGAAAAUCAUGCUUUAGAAUCAACUGCCAUAUCUUUCGGUAUAUAUAUGUUACAUUCUCAGAUAACAUUUCAGUAUUUUUAGCUACUCAGUAUUUCAGUUGCAUUUUAGCCAUACAUAUUCAGUUGGGAGUAGACUUAGCAUCGAGUUGGACUAGGGUUCAGCGUAGCCUCAAAGUCCCAGAACAAUGUACCAACAUAGGUGCAGAGGUCCCCUAUGUUGGGCAUCAGCUUUUAGUGAUCACGCCACAUUUAUGCCUUUAUACCUUUAGCAAGGUAUAUUGGGUCCUAUCGAUGGGGCAUAUACAUCAGACUCCUUGUUUAUCUCACAUGGAUUAUGUCAAUUAAUAGUAUCUCCCACAGUCAGACUCUUAUUGCAUUGACCAUGUUAUUGGCAUUUACUUUAGUAUUAAGUUCAACAUGUUAUUUUCAUGAUUAGUACUUGGUCAUUGCAUCUAGUUCAACUUUCAGUUAUAUCUCAACAUAUCAUUUCCAUGUUCAGUAUAUAGUGUUCAUCUUAGUAUCUAUAUAUUGCAUGCUCAGUACAUUCAAAGUUAUGAUGCAUACUUUUUGCGCUACAUCAAUGUAUGAUGUAGGUUUAGGCGCUCCACAUCCAUAUCAUGCUUAGUUCAACUUCUACUCCAUACUCAGCAGCUUUAAUGGUGAAUCCUCAUAGUUUGAGAACGUUUGUUUAUGUGUUUGAUUUAGUUAACCCAUUAUCAGGUUUCAGUACUUUUAGAGUUAGUUGGGGACUUGUCCCAGCAGCUCAUCAGUAUUAGAGGCUUUCAGGCAUAGAGUUAGUAUUCAAUUGUUUUGGGUUGUUCCCCAUUGACAUUUAGUUAUAUUCUCACUUGAAUUUCUUUUAGUCUUAACUCACUUCACAAUUACGUUUCUACUUAGUUGUAUUUCAGUAUGCAUCUAAUAUGCCAAACUCGGGAUUAGCUUGGGAUCACUUGUGAUCCUAGGUCCCGUUUUGCGCCUAGGGGGUAGUCUCGAGGCGUGACAUUGGUGUUCUGAGGGUUGGUGCUAAUGGUUAUUACAUUAGCAAGGUCAUUUCCUUCCUCUAUGCUUAGAGAUUGGUGAAUAGAGGGUGUUUGUCUUACCUAGAAUUUAGUCAGAACAAUAGUGUUGAGUCACCUCUUAUGGAGACCAUUCCCAUGCUUCAGGAGUUUCAAGAUAUAUUCCCUAUUGAUCUUUCAGGUGUUCCUCCCGAUAGAGAUAUUGAUUUUACUAUUGAUUUGGAUCCAGGCACUAAGCCCAUUUAUAUUUCUCUCUAUUGUAUGCCCCAGUAGAGUUGAAUGAGUUGAAGGAUCAAUUGCAGGAUUUGUUGAGUAAAGGAUUUAUUCGCCUUAGUAUGUCACCUUGGGGUGUUCUGGUCUUGUUUGUGAAAAAGAAGGAUGGAACUAUAAGGAUAUGUAUCAAUUACAUGUAGUUGAACAAAGUGACAAUGAAGAACGAUUAUCUCUCAUGCGCAAUGAUGAUUUGCUUGAUCAGCAUUAGGGAACAUCAUUUUUCUCUAAGAUAGAUUUGAGGUCCAGUUAUCUUCUAUAAGGAUUAGGGCCUGGGAAGUCUCUAAGACAGGUUUUCAGACUCGAUAUGGCCAUUAUGAGUUCUUGGUGAUGUCUUAUGGGUUGAUUAAUACCCCUUUUGCGUUCAUGGAGUUGAUGAAUGAGGUGUUUUGACCAUUAUUAGAUUCAUUUAAGAUUCUCUUCAUUGAUGAUAUUUUGGUGUACUCCAAAACCGAGGAGGACCAUGUUUGACACUUGAGGACAAUGCUUCAGAUGUUGAGGGAACAAAAGUUGCAUGCAAAAUUCUCAAAGUGUGACUUUAGGCUAGAUUUUGUGGCCAUCUUGACCCCAAAAUUCCGAAUUUAGUUGGGUAGCAUAUUCUAUUUGUGUAUACAAGGCUACAAACGAAUAUCUAGAGCCUAUUUUGUGAAUUUUUGUGCCUUGGGUGAAUUGUUGUUGUUGGUGUCAGUUAUAUUCCUUUGCAUUUGCAGAGCCCAUUUGCGUUCACAAAUAGUCAUGUCAUAUAACCUCAGCCUUUGUGAGGCCUUGACCGUGAUCUCAGAGGGCAAAGUGACUGGCCUUUGGGUUUGUGGAAGUCCUAUCGCGUUUGUGAAAGGUCGGGCGAGUUGAAUGUCACAUUCACGGGGCACUGUCUCCAUUCAUGACGGGUACUGAGGUUUGACUUUCGUGUUCGUAAGCCUCAUGCCGCGAACAUGGAGAAUUAAAUGACUGGGAGUAUGUUUUCUUCCAAAAUUGGGGACUUUCCCUGUUUUGACCUUUUUUUUUACUUGGAGAACCCUUUACAGGCGAUUUACCCUAACUCUUCAUUUCCAAUUUACUUUUUAUGACUUUGAACUUUAAAGUUUGGGGGUUUCCAAGAACCUAAGGUUUUGAUAAAAAUGGUGAUCAUUGUUUGAUUUUAGCUCUAUUUUUAAAAUGGUUUUCACCAGUGGGUUCCAAAUUCUUUAGGUAGCAUAUUUUUAUACAAAUUUCCAGAUUUAACCCUCAUUUUAAGAAAUAAGUUUUUUGGGUCAGUUUGUCCUCAUUUUCCAAUAUUCUUGAUAUGGGUGGUGUUCUUAGUUUCAAAUUCUUCUUAUGAUUCUCUAUUUGACUAGAUUGUGUUGAAUUGGAGACCCAAGGAAGGGGAAAGCUCAAGUACCAGGGUGAUCAUUUUAUUUCUUGAGGCAAGUGAACUUCUUGACCUUUGUUAUGUAUAUAGAAUCUCAUAUUUUCUUAGUGUGUAUUGGGCCGUAAUGAGAUUUGGUGAAGGGUUCGAUAUUUGUUGUUACAUGUUUAUAAGGAAUGAUUCUAAUGAAGAAAAUGGGUAAUAAAGAGGAUACUUGAUAGUAAAUUUGUGUGUGACAUUUUGUGGAUAAUUUGAGGGGUUAUAUUGACUCAUUAUUGGUGUUGUAUCAUAGAUUUGUUGUUAUGGAUUGUGUAUUGAUAUGAAAUUGUCAUUUUCUGAUUAAUUGUGUGAACAUGCCUAUUUGCAUUGGUUUAGAAACACUAUGAUGAAACUUAUUAUGAUGAGGAUGUCGAUGGGAAAUGGUUCCGAAUAUGUCGAUUAGAAAUUGUUUUGGUGAUGCCGAUGGGAAAUAGUUCCAGUGAUUGAUGAUUUUGCCGAUGGAAAAUGAUUUUCGCUAGUACAUGGACCUUCUGCAUACCCCAUGGGUUUGACCUAAUAUUCAGUUGAUGUGUAUUAGUAGGACAUACAUCCAUCGCCUUACUUGACAUUUCAUUUCAUUGAACAUCAUUACCAUUUGCGAACUAUGAGUCCUUAUUGUGGAACUUGUGAUUGAUGAAUCUAAUAUUGGGUAUUGGUUACCCAUAUAUGUUGAAGUGUUGUUAUUCGUUCUAUAUGCUAUAUGAACUGUGAACUGUUAGGUUAGGUUGAUUUUGUGUAGGUUGUAGUUGUGGAGGUUCAUUUGGAUUGUUGGGAGUACAUGUAUUUUAUAUGGAUUUACCUCGAGUUAGUGGUUUGCUUGUUGAGUAUCGUAUUGCUUGGUACUCACUACAUUGCUUCUACACUUGGGUAGGUUACGAGCCCAGAUCAUCGUGAUAUUCCUUCUUCUAUUUUACGUCUGAGGCUUAUUGACUAAUGUCCUUACAACGUUCAUAAAGUUGUUGAACAGGGUGUUUCAACUAUUUUUGGAUUCAUUUGUGAUUGUCUUUAUUGAUUAUAUUUUGGUGUAAUCCAAGACUGAGGAGGACCAUGUUCGACACUUGAGGAUAGUGCUUCAGAGGUUGAGGGUAGAGAAGUUGUAUUCAAAGUUUUCAAAGUGUGAGUUCUGGCUUGAUUUUGUGAGCCUUUUAGGACACAUGGUGUCCAAAAAAGGUAUUAGAGAGGAUCUAGCCAAGAUUGACGCAAUUAGAGGCUUGAUGAGACCUACUUCUCCUACCAAGAUUUGGAGUUUUAUGGGGUUAGAAGACUACUAUAGACAGUUUGUGCAGGGUUUCUCUACCAUAGUAGCGUCAUUGACCAGAUUGACUUGGUAGAGUGUAGGUUUUCAGUCGUUCGAGUUCUUAAGAUAUGGCUUCACUAUUUGUACGGGAUGCAUUUUGAGGUCUUCACUGAUCAUCAGAGUCUCCAGUAUAUCUUCAGAGAGAUCUGAAGUUAAGGUAGCGUAAAUGGCUCGAGCUGAUGAAGUAAUAUGGCAUGACUAUUCUAUAUCAUCCACGAAAGGUCAAUGUGGUGGCUGAUGCUUUGAUUAGGAAAACUUUUCACAUGGGGAGUCCUGUUGCGAUUAGUGUUGAGGAAAGACUUUUGGCAAAAGAUGUUCAUAGAUUAGCCAAUAGUUUUGUUUGAUUGCUAUUUCAUAGAAGAGUGGUGUUAUUUCCUUUUUUAAAGAUAGGUCUUCUUUGGUUGAGUAGAUUAGAGAGCGACAGUUUGAUGAUGAGAAGUUAUGCAUGAUUCGAUACAAUGUGUUAAGGGGUGAAGUUAGGAAAGUAAUUCGGAUGGAGUGUUGUUCUUAGAGGAGGCUCACUGUUCUAGAUACUCAAUUCCUCUGGGAGCGGCCAAGAUGUACCACAAUUUGAGUCAGCAUUACCGGUGGUGCGGUAUGAAAAAUGACAUUUUUUAGUUUGUGUCUAUGUAUUUGACUUGCAAGCAGGUCAAAUGUGAGCAUCAGUGGGCUAAAGAUGUGUCUCACAAGAUGCCCAUUCCUACUUGAAACUGGGAACGUAUCACCAUGGACUUUGUAGUAGGUUUGCCUACCACUGUGGGUGCUAUGAUUAUAUUUGGGGUUGUUGAUAGGUUGACCAAGUCCACCUAUUUCAACAGAGUUCACGUGAUAUACACGGCAUAGAUGUUAUCUCACUCUUCAUCAGUAAGAUAGUUCGACUACGUAGAGUGCAUAUUUCUACUGUCUCUUAUACAGAUUCACUGUUCACUUCUCACUUCUAGAGGGCCUUACAACAUGGUUUGGGUACUCGACUAGACAUGAGUACAACUUUUCACCCUCGGACAAAUGGAUAGUCUGACCGAAUGAUUCUAGUGUUAGUGGACAUGCUUAGAGUAUGUCAGAUUGAUUUUGGUGCUCAUUGGGAUCAAAAAUUUCCCUUAGCUGAGUUUGCCUAUAACAGCAGCUACCAUUCCAAUAUUCAGAUGGACCUAUUUGAGGCGUUGUUUAGUGGGAGGUGUAGAUCUCCGAUCGGUUGGUUUGAUGAAGUUGAGACGGAAUCAUUAGAUAAAGACUUACUUACAGAUGUCAAGAAGCAGAUCUGUUUGAUUUAGAGUAGGUUGGUGAUGGCUCAGAGUCGACAUAAGAGUUAUGCAUAUAGGACGGUUUAAGAUCUAGACUUUAUGAAAGGCGAUCAUGUUUGGCUCAGAAUGUCGCCCAUAAAGGGUGUGAUGAAAUUCAGGAAUAAGGGAAAGCUUAACCGUAGAUUCAUUGGCCCUUUUGAUAUUUUGGGAUGGAUUGGAGAGAUAUCCUAUAAGUUGGCCUUCCCUCCUAGCUUGUCAGUUAUGUAUCUUGUUUUCCAUGUCUGCAAUGAUUGAAAAGCAUGUGCGGGAUGAGUCUCAUGUGAUUUCACUUGAUUUAGUAGUGUUGGGUCCAUACUUGUCUUUUGAGAAGGAGCAUAUAGCCAUAUUAGAUAGGCAGGUUCGAAAUCUUAGUAACAAGGAGGUUUCUUAGGUGAAAGUGUAGUGAAAACAUUGUUCAGUUGGAUAGGCAACUUGGGAGAUGUAACACCCCGUAGUCUAGUAGGCCAACUAGGGCAAAGUAUGAGUACAACGAGUCAAGACUAGAGGACAAGAGCCAAGGCAAAAGGGCAAGGGCCAAGGCUGCCCCAAGUCUCCAAGACACUGCCCCACUUCACGACCACCACCACGGCCGAUGGUGUGGACCACGGCUCGUGUUGUGGUCCGUGAUGGCUAAGGCAGUAACUACUUUGAGGCUGCCUUUAGAUGGCUCAUCUUCACGAGCCACUUCACAGCCAGUGGUGAGGACCACGACUCGUGGGAAGGCCCGUGAAAAUGCCUUCAUUUUGUCGAGGCCAAGGCAUGGUGGCCUAGCCACUGGUCCAAGGACAACGAGCAGGACCACGGCCAGUGGUGAGGACUAUGGCAUGUGGAGCCUCUCGUAGUGCCUGGCACUAGGCUGCCUAAUGAGGGUUAUUUUGGGAAAUUUCUAAUUAAAUGGGUAUUAAGUGAGGUCAUUUUGUAUAGUCUUAGUACACAUAUAUAAGCUAUUUUAACCCUUUAACCACCCCAAUUAAUUCAUUAUUUCCAAAACCCCAAAAGAAUCCCAAAUUUCAUCCUCUCAAAUAUUCUCUCCCUAGAAAGUGAAGAAGAAGAGGGUCAAGCUAGGUCAAGUAUCCAUUUUUUCAAGCUUGGUAGGCUUUGUAAUCAAGGCAUGAUGUAUUAUUCAUGAAUGGAUUCCUUUCAUCCAUGAAGCCCCCGUGUUUUCCCCAAUUGUGAAGAUGAAUCCCCAAUUCUAGUUAGGGUUUCUUCCCAUAUUGUAGGUAUUGUUGUUUGUUGAUCCAAUUGAGUGGAUAAUGAUCAAUUAUGAUUGAACUAGUAAUCUAUCAUGUUUUUAAGAUGAAAUUACAUGUUUACAUUCCUAAACCAUAUCUAGAGAGAUGAAAUUGAAGUAAGUGGGUUUUAUGCCAUGAAAGGGGAAAUUGAGGAUUUAGAUGUAAUCUUCUAGAAUUGAUGAAGUAUAUUGUAUAUCUCUUGAUAGUUAAGCAUAUAGACAUGAAUUGAAUGUGAUUAAUGUAUGUAUGAUGAACCAUGGUUAGAAGAGAUAGAGAUUGGGGUAAAAUGAUGAAGUAUGACUAGAUUGCUUAAGAUUGAAGUACAUAGAUGUGAAUUGAAUGAAAUCAAGUAUAUGUACAUGAAUUAUGACUUGUAAGCUAUGAUGAUUAGAAUUUUCUUGAGACUAAGGCAUGCAUGAUGAAUGACUAUUGUUAGGGAUUUUAGAAUAAAGUUUAUAUGUUGAAUAACAACUAGUAGGGCUUGAGAGUAAAGCUAAUAUGAUGAGUUAAGACUAGUAAGGCUUUAAGAGGGAAGCUAUAUGAUGAAUGUUGAUUGUAUAUGGUGUUGUUGUGGAAGGCUUACCCACAUGACUUAUAUUAUGAAUGUACGAGAUUAUGCAUGUUCUUAUAAAACCUAUGUAAAUGCCUUAUGAACACUUUGAGGGUAAAGUGUCUAUGAUUAUGAUAUUGAAUAUGACAUGGAAGCUUAUACGCUAGUUGAGUUCGGCUUCCAAAUGGAAUCCUUAUAGGCUAGUUGAGUCUGGGUUUCCAAAUAUAUCUCAUGGGAUGGAGACCAUUUACACUAGUUGAGUUCGGGUUCCCAAGUAUAUCUCAUGAUAAUUGCCUAAAAUGAAUCUAAGAGUAAAAGUGAUCAUGGAUGCUGAUAGUUGCUCAUGCAUGAUUUAAUGAGCCUUCUUAAUGAACUAAGACAUGCUUAAAGAAAGUAUCUCGUUAGUGUUCAAAGGCUUCAUGUAAGAACUAAGGUAGCUUGAAGUAGUGAUAAGAUAUCCCUUCAUGAAUAUCUUGACUUGGUAAGAUAAGACCAAGCUUUGUAGCUUGAGUUAGGAGUCCUCAUGGAUAGCUUUGGAUUAAGCAAUAGUACCUUUCCAAUGGUUAGCUUGAACUAAGCACAAUAGAGUGCUUUGCAUGGUAGCUUGACUUGGUUAGGCCACACCAUAUCAUUGGUAGCUUGGAUUGAGCAAUGUUACCCUUCCUUGAGUAGCUUGGACUUGCAUGAUAGAGUGAUUUCCGUGAUAGCUUGGUCUAACAUAAGUAAGGUGUUUUUCCUUGAUAGCCUUGAAUUGGUAAUUCAUAACCAUUCAUGAGUGAUGAUGUGUGGUGGACUAGUAAAGAGGUAUUCUUCCAUGACUAGUAUGAAUAUGAGGGACAAGUCACUAAUCAAAGUAGCAUGUAUAUGAUGAAACAAGAUUACUUCAAGGAAGUAUUGUAAGUAUGUUUUGAUAUGAGGUUUACUUGUAUGAUGUAUGCCUAGUUUGCAUUGUAGCUUGAAAGGCCCUUCCAAUACAUGUGUGACUAAAGGUGAAUGUUCCCUUGUCUAUGAGAAAUAAGCUAAGUAUGAGAUCAAAAGAUGAUAAAUACGAAUGAGGGCCUAAAGUGACUUUCUUAGCAUGGGUGAGAUUAUGGGGUCUUAUCCAUGCAUUGCACAAGCUUGCCUUGAGGUGACUUAUGAAGUGUUUCUCUUAUGUCAUGCUAAACAAGAUGCAUUGAUUAUGCCUAUGACUAUGUUGUUAUCUCUUUUGCUUAUAGCCUAUGUCUUAUAAUGAUGUCUCUUAUGCUUAUGACUUAUUAUGAUUUUGGUAUAUGUCUUAUGUUGACUAAUGCCUCUAUUAUGCUUAUGUUGAUGAUUAUGCUAGCCAUCAUAUUUGUACUAACGCAUAUUUUUGCCUGCAUUCUUAUCAAAUAUAGGGUCCGGAGAUAUUGACUUCCAUCAUCGUGGUUAGGUUCCUGGUAGAGCAAAAAGGGAGGUUUUGGUGAGUCCUCAUAGCAUCGAGGACUUGAUCACCCUUUCCUUUUUAUGUAUUUAUUUUUAUGUUAGAACUAUUGUAUGGGCUGUGUGACAAAGAAUAUUCAUGUUUUAGUUGGUUUGAGACAAAGUGUAUAAGACUUCUGCUUCAUUUUAUGAGACUUUGAUGUUAUGAAAAUUUAUUAAAUUUCCGCUCAUUUCUAUUAUCUUAUGUUGUAAGAUGCUAAGGGGAAGUAUGAGGCCUCUCAGGGUCUUGUACGCCUUGUUACAUCUAGGGGGUACCCCUGGGUCGUGAUAGGAGACGAAGUUUUACAUGCGUUCUAGAUAUCCUCAGCUUUUUUAAGCUUCAGGUACUUUUUUUUACUUUAUGUUUGAAGAUGAACAUGGUUUCUAGUGGGAAAUAAUAUAAUGAACUGGAAGGUCAUUUUUGAAAAUUUUCGGUGAAGUUUUGUGCCUUGUGUAGAUUGUUGUUGCUGGUGUCUGUUAUAUUCCUUUGCGUACAAGAAAUUUAUUCCCAUUACCGAAAAGUCGUGUGGUCUGACCACUGCUUUCGCAAAGUCUUGACCUCGAUUGCAAAGGGGGAAGUGUCUGGCCUUCACAUUCGCGGUGUUCUUUCUGCAUUCAUGAUAGGUAAUAAGCUUUCACCUCCACGUUCGUGGGACUCAAGCAGGGAACACAGAGAAUUAAAAGACUAGCAAUAUGUUUUCUUCCAAAAUAGGAUUUUUCCUAUUUUCACCAAUUUUGGACUUGGAAAACCCUUGUUAGGCGAUUUCAAAUAGGAAUUUCGUGAUAAUCUUUUAAGUAUUUAUUACCCUAAAUCUUCAUUUCCCAUUUACUCUUCAUAAUUUUAAACAUCAAAUUAGGGAUUUUGAACUUUAAAGUUUGGGAGUUUUCAAGAACUAAAGGUUUUAAUAAAAAUGGUGAUUAUGGUUUGAUUUAACUCCAUUUUUAAAAUGAUUUUCACUGGUAAGUUUCAAAUUCUUUGAGUAACACAUUUUUGUACAAAUGUCAUAUGUAACCCUCAUUUUUGGAAAUGGGUGUUUGGGACAAUUUGUCCCUAUCUUCCAAAAUUCUUGAUAUCGGUGUUGCUAGUGCAAAAUUCGUAUUGAUGUCUUGAGGCAAGUGAAUUUCUUGACCUUGGUUAAAUCUAUAGAAUCUUGUAUUUACUUAUUGUGUGUUGGGUAGUAACGGGAUUUGGUGAAGGGUUUGAUAUUUGUGGUUACAUGUUCAUAUGGAAUGAUUGUAAUGAUAAAAAUGGGUAAUAAAGAGGCAACUUGAUAGUAAAUUGGUGUGUUAUACUUUGUGGAUGGAUUCACGGGUUAUAUUGACUCAUUAUUGGUGUUGUAUCAUAUUUGCGUUGAUAUGGAUUGUGUGUUGAUAUGAAAUUGUCAUUUUCUCAUUAAUUGUGUGAACAUGCCUAUUUGCAUUUGUUUUGGAACAUUGUGAUGAAACCUAUUGCGAUGAGGAUCUCAAUUGGAAAUGGUUCCGGUGAUAUAUAUAUAUAUAUAUAUUAACCUUAUUUAUAAGCCAACAAGAAAGGACUAACACAGCAAUAACUAAUUGUACCUGAUGCAAUAUAAGUUGUACUAUGUAAUGGACCCAUUUCAUUGAGUUGGAUUUCAUGCAUUAGCCCAUUUUAUUAAACAUUUUUCACCUCUUCUUCUCUACUCUAAACACGUGUGAUAACCGUGUCCAUAUUUCCAAGUUUUGCUUCUAACCGCAUCCUUUUUACUAAUCAAAAGCUUACAACCUCAAAUCUCAAAUCCCUCUUCAACAAUGGCCGUAAGCUUCAAUUUGGUCCUUUAUCAAUGUUACUCAGAGGGCUCCCCGUCUUUCUCAUCAUUUUUUCCAAAAAAUUUAUGGGUCUUUUAUAUUUUCAGACGAUUGGAACCAAUACUACCUUAAAGGUAGUCUUUGAUUUGAAAAUUUUUAUAUUGGUUGUUUGCAUGUCAUUUUUAUGGCUUCUUAGUUCUACCGUUUCAUGUUUCUUGAAUUUGAUAUUUGUCAGGAGACUCGGGAAUAUGAAAUAGCUAUUUAAAGUUAGUUCAUGUGAGUGUUUUGCUAUUUACCGGUAAGCACUCCAAUUUGAGCCUCUUUUUUCUAAUUUGCUCAUAUUUUUCUUGAGUUUUUAUGAAAUAAUUGUCUUCUUUUGGUGAACGAACACAUCACAUAGUAUUACAAAUAGAAUCCUAAAUUGGUUCUAGAGAAUAUUGAUUUCCUAUCUUCAUGCUGUCAUUGGAUUCAAUUGGCUAUUUUAAUUUUUAGGUGUCUAUUUGGAGUUCAAUUUCUCAUAAUUUUAAAGGUUUUCGUUUGCUUAUUGACAUGCAGUAUCACACCAUUAGAUCUUGAUUCAUGUUAUUUAUCAGGGUAACAUACUCUGUGUGGAAUAUGUUUUUCAUGAACUUAUAACCUUGAAAGUAUUUGGAAUAAUUAAGGUAGGACUUUGUGAGAAAGUAGAUUCUAGGGUGAUGCCCGUGCGAUGCACGCCCCAACAAAUUGAUUUUUAAUAUGUUACAAUAUGCCAAAUUUAUCAUCAAACCAAGGACCAAAGGAUAUAUUAUUUGGCAAAUUUUUCCAUCAUUAGAGCUUGUAUUAGCUUCAAGUUCAUAAUGCAUUAGUUCCACCAAAAAGAUGCAAGAAAAUUCAUACAUAUGUCUGUUUGUUUGACACCAUAAACGUACAACAAAAUAUAUGUUUGUUUGUUUGACACCAUAAAUGUACAACAAAAUUUAGAAAGAAAAAAAAUAUACUACAUGUAACUUUAAAGCAAUAACCAAGAGAAUCACUCAUGCCAUCACUUAGUUAUGGAUGAAAAAUGCAUGUAUCUCAAGUGUAAAAUCAGAUGUACUAUAAUGUGAGUGGUCUGAAUUUCAUGUCGAAGAAACAUCGCUAGGACUUUCUGAUGUCUUUAGUUGUGUAAUUGCAAGGUUGUAGCUCUUACUUUUUGGUCAAUAGUUUGCUCUUAGUCUAUGUUGGCAUGCCUUUGGUUCUGGCAGUUUGACAAAAAAAUAUUGGCAACUUGGCAUGCUUUUGGUUAGUUGUAAGCAUGUUCAGGAAUAUAUUCGUUGGUCCUUCUUUGUAAAAUUUUAGUUCUUUUUAUGCAAUCUUUUUCAGGAUAUUGAGGCCAAUAACCGGAAAGUAAAUGUAUACACUGAAAAUCAUACUUUUCAAGAGACUAGAUGGAACCGUUAACGAGUUGGUGAUCUUAUUAAGGUGUACAAGGAUCAAUAUUUCCCCACUGAUUUGCUUUUGCUUUCAUCUAGCUACGAGGAUGGAAUAUGUUAUAUCGAAAUCUCCAAUCUUGAUGGAUAGACUAACCUUAAGGUGAAGCUUGCAUUAAAUAUCACAUCCUCUUUGUAAGCCGAUAGUUCUUCUCAAACUUUUAAAGUUGUUGUUAAGUGUGAAGAUCCAAAUGAAAUUUGUAUACUUUCAUUGGAACUCUGUAUUAUGUUAAUCAGCAGAACCCUCUUUCAGUGCAACAAAUACUUCUGCGAGGUUCCAAGCUACGCAAUACUUUAUGGUGUGGUUAUUUUUACUGGUCAUACACAAAAGUCAUGCAAAAUUCUACAGAUCCUCCUUCUAAGAAGAGUGGAAUUGAGAAAAAGAUGGAUAAAAUAUAUGUCCUUUUUGGUACCUUGAUUACAGUAACUUUUAUUGGAUCCAUCUUUUUUGGGAUUGAAACUAAAAAUGACAUUUUUGGUGGGAAACUAAGGAGGUGGUAUCUUCAACCAGACAAGACAAGUGUGUUUUAUGAUCCUAAAAGAGCUUCACUGGCUGCAUUUUUUUCAUUUCUUGACAGCCUUUAUGUUGUAUGGUUACUUGAUUCCUAUUUCGCUAUGUGUGUUUAUUGAAAUUGUGAAGGUUUUACAGAGCAUAUUCAUCAAUCAAGAUAGGGAGAUGUACUAUGAGGAAACAGAUUAGCCAACUCAUGCAAGAACAUCUAAUCUGAAUGAGGAACUUGUGUUGGUUGACACAAUACUCGCAAUCAAAACAAACACCUUAACAUGCAACUCCAUGGAGUUUGUCAAAUGUUCAAUAGCAGGUGUUGUGUAUGGACGUGUUGUGACAGAAAUAGAGAGGGCCCUGGCAAAGCAAUAAGGAGAUGGAUCACAGGAAGUAGGCGAUACUUCCAAUGACGUGUAGGAAUCAAGUGACCCUACUGUUAACUCGAAGAAAUCUAUUAAAGGAUUCAACUUCAAAGAUGAGAAUAUAAUGAAUGGUUAAUGGGUCCACGAGUCUCAUCGAGACAUAUUACAAAAAAAUUUAGAGUGCUGGCGAUUUGUCAUACUGUUUUUGUGAUGUGAACAAAAAAUAGGUGAGAUCUCUUAUGAAGUAGAGUCACCAGAUGAAGCUGUCUUUGUCAUUGCAGCAAGACAACUUGCAUUUCAGUUCUUUGAAAGAACACAAAGCAGAAUUACACUGCAUGAAUUGAAUCAUCAGAGUGGCAAGAUGGUUGACACGUAAAUCUUUGAUUUAGUUUGUUUCCUGUAUUGGAAUCUUAAAUAUUCAGAAGUUCUGUUCAAAGAUGCGAACGUGGUUUACUAAUCCAGCAGCCAAGAAUACAUCCACAUUUUCCUAUUUUGCCCUUUUGGGGUGUGGUUUAUCGAUUCUGUUUUAUUUCAGCUCUUUUAGUUGUGAAGAAUCCCUGGCAGGACUUCUUUCUGUUGGUUGAUAUUUUCUCGAGGUAGUGAAAAGCAAGAGCCAUUUGAGGAGCAAUGUAUUGCUUACUUCCUCGAAAGGAUUAAAAUAACCAAAAGAAUUAUGUUUGUGAUACUUAUUUAGUAUCUCUUAUUUUUAAUAUGAAUUGUGUUUAUGUUGCUUAUUUAGUAUCUCUAAUUCCUUUUUUAUAUGGAUAGAAUAUGGAUUGCAUGAGACUGCAUGUGUUCUGGUGUCAUUUUGCUUGCAGGUACAACUUUCAAAUUUAAUGCACUAUUUUAAUAUAUUAAGGCUCUUCUCCCAUUGGGUUCGUAAGUACAGAUUAGCUUCUACAGGGCAUGCUUCUUUUUAUUUGUUUUGAGAAUUCUUUUCGGUGUACUAUUUUCAGAUAAACAGUUAUGGAGGAGUACAUGAAAUUAAACACAAUUGUCACUCUAUGGGAAAGGUUUGGUAUGUGCAAGUGAAGUCGCGGAAACAACUUUCUUUCCAUCCAUUGGAUUGGUUAUAAGAGUGGAAAUACCGACAAAGAUUUAAUCUUUGGAUCUUUUCAACUGAGGACCUUUUGAAAGAACCUUUUGUUCUAUUCUAUUCCUCAAUUGUCCUCCAAACAUCUUUUAUAACAUUCACUUCUUCAAAUCUUCUCAUAAAGAGACGAGUGCUAGAAAUGGUCGGUACAACUAUUGAAGUUGGUCAUGUUUAUUCCUUAGCAGACAUUAUCAUAGCACAACCUUAUGUACGAGGCAAACAUUACUCAAGUAAUUUAAUCUUUGGAUCUUUUCAAUUGAGGACCUUUUGAAAGAACCUUUUGUUCUAUUUUAUUUCUCAAUUGUCCUCCAAACAUCUUUUCUAACAUUCACUUCUUCAAAUCUUCUCAUAAAGAGAAGAGUGCUAGAAAUGGUCGGUACAACUAUUGAAGUUGGUCAUGUUUAUUCCUUAGCAGACAUUGUCAUAGCCAAAAACUAGCACAACCUUAUGUACGAGGCAAACAUUACUCAAGUUUGUUUAUAGAUAUACUAACUUGAUUGUACGUUAAAUGUGUUUAUGUAACUACAACUCUGUGAUAUUGAAAGUUAUUUGAUAAAAUUUGUGAUCUUGAGGAUUGCCCGUACUUUGACUAGAUUGGAGCUACGUUAUUGGAUAAGAUUGUUGCAGCAUUCAAUUUUAUGCUUAUGCAUAUGCUAUUUUUCUUUGCGUUAAACGUGUUUAUGUAACUACAACUCUGUGAUAUUAAAAGCUAUUUGAUAAAAUUUGUGAUCUUGAGGAUUGUCCGUACUUUGAUUAGAUUGGAGCUACAUUAUUGGAUAAGAUCGUUGCAACAUUCAAUUUUAUGCUUAUGCAUAUGCUAUUUUUCUUUCUUUUAGUUUCUUUUGUACUCUCAUUUUGCAGCACCAAGUGACUAUGCAAAACAACCAAGGAUCAAUAAUCACUUAUGAACACAAAAUGUUGGGCACGGGCCAAUGCCCAUCUAGUAUAUAUAUAUAUAUAUAUAUAUAUAUAACCAAGGAUCAAUAAUCACUUAUGAACGCAAAAUGUUGGGCAUGGGCCAAUGCCCAUCUAGUAUAUAUAUAGGGCAAAUUACAGAAAUCACAUACUUUUCCCAUCAAAUUUGAAACUUAUUUGCAUAGUUAGGAUAAGAGAUGACAAACAUUAAACAGUACAAAGAGAUUACUUGGUUAGUGCAUACUUGUUAAACUAUCAUUCACAAAGAAUUGAUUCAGAUAUCAAUUGAAUUUUGAUAGUUUGAAAGGCACCACAUACAUACUAAAUAGUCAUUGAUAGACGAAGAUUCCCUCAGGUGAGGUGCAUUAUAAGGUGUCACGAUGAUGUCAUGGGGGAGGUACACAACUGUGAUUAAAGAUCUCGUCCAGAGGAGAAAUGUCUUGCUCGUAAUUUUUUAUGCUUCGAAAGAAGCUGCUAAGGCGUAGGAUGCGGCUACGAGGAUAUAAGAGUUAUAACUAAAUUUCCUCAAGAUAACCUCGGAGAUUUUCUCAAGAAGUCUAUUUGUAAGAUCGAAAGUGAUGAUAAUAAUGAUAACUCCAAUCAUUUGCUCUCAAUACGCUUUCAGGUCGCCUUCCUACGAGAUUGCGGUGCAGUGAGCUUUCAAAAAUGAAGAAGCCAAAAAGAGACCAUGAACUUUUUGAGGUGAUGCUAACGACGACUACAACACUAUGCCUCUAAAUCAUGAGAUCACCAUUGCACCGUUAGGGAGCAUGUGAAACCAUCAUCGAAUAUUGAAUGCAUGACAUUUCGCAGGUCCCUUUUGCUUUUAAUUUCCUUUUAAAUUCAAAAAAUAUAAAAGGAAAAAAUGAAUACGAGAGAGUCGGCCUCGUUUAUUUCAAGAAACCUAUUUAUUGAUUUUUCAUUUUUUCUUUUUUGGGUUGAUUCUUGUUCGAACUUGAUUCUUUUUUUAUCGAGAUGCAUAGAUCCAUGAUUCCUUUCAGAUCAAGAUGUAUAGAUCCUCAAUUCUUUUCUGAUCAAGAUGUAUAGAUCCUUGAUUUUUUUUCCUGAUUGAGAUGUAAAGAUCAAAAUGUUCCUUUUCAAUCAAGAUGUGUAGAUUCUUAAUUCUUUUUCGAAAAGAAAUAUAGAUUUUACUCAUAGAUCAACAAAAAAGUGCAGCAAUAUUUCGUAGCACGAUGAAUCAUCAUUUUGUUUCUUUGAAUAUCCAUAAAAAUGCUUGAACUCUUUUUUGAUUUGUUCUUCUAUUGUUUUUUUGCAAAUAAAAUUCUCAAGAAAAUCUCUAUUGUUUCAUAGGUUAUCUCGAAAACAAAUAAUUACCUCAUGUUGCCAUGAUAUCUCCUCGUCAUUGAUCGUAAACCUUAGCAACUUCUUCUAGUGUAUCAAAAGUUCUGAGCUAACCAGUUCUCCUCUGGGUGGAAUCUCUAAUCUCAGAGGUGUACCUCCUCAUAUAGCACCCCCUAAAAUGCAUCUUACCUGAUGGAACCGUCGCCUUGUUGGUUUUCCU